This 232-nucleotide ribosomal RNA is filed under the name uncultured Staphylococcus sp. RNAcentral describes it as "partial 16S ribosomal RNA". It matches the Rfam family "Bacterial small subunit ribosomal RNA", at positions 108 to 334 of the family's 1533-position model. The record is from RNAcentral. Lineage: Bacteria; Bacillati; Bacillota; Bacilli; Caryophanales; Staphylococcaceae.
GAGUAACACGUGGAUAACCUACCUAUAAGACUGGGAUAACUUCGGGAAACCGGAGCUAAUACCGGAUAAUAUAUUGAACCGCAUGGUUCAAUAGUGAAAGACGGUUUUGCUGUCACUUAUAGAUGGAUCCGCGCCGCAUUAGCUAGUUUGUAAGGUAACGGCUUACCAAGGCAACGAUGCGUAGCCGACCUGAGAGGGUGAUCGGCCACACUGGAACUGAGACACGGUCCAG